Molecule: unclassified non-coding RNA, 353 nt
Filed under: soil metagenome
Description: partial contains 5.8S ribosomal RNA, internal transcribed spacer 2, and large subunit ribosomal RNA
Rfam family: 5.8S ribosomal RNA (bases 1-120)
Source: RNAcentral
GAUGAAGAACGUAGCGAAAUGCGAUAAGUAGUGUGAAUUGCAGAAUUCAGUGAAUCAUCGAAUCUUUGAACGCACAUUGCGCCUCCUGGUAUUCCGGGAGGCAUGCCUGUUCGAGCGUCAUUAAAAUCACUCAAGCUUAGGUUUACCUAUUGCUUGGUCUUGGAGAUGGAAGCCAAUUUAUUGGAAUCCUCUUCGAAAUUCAAUGGCGAAGACCCUUGCUCUCCCAAGUGUAGUAAUAACUUAUGUCACUGAAGGAAGCGAGAAAUCUUCUGCCGUAACCCCCAUAUUUUCUAUGAUUGACCUCGGAUCAGGUAGGGAUACCCGCUGAACUUAAGCAUAUCAAUAAGCGGGGA